RNAcentral lists this ribosomal RNA (267 nucleotides) under uncultured bacterium. Its description in RNAcentral is "partial 16S ribosomal RNA". It matches the Rfam family "Bacterial small subunit ribosomal RNA", at positions 15 to 311 of the family's 1533-position model. The record is from RNAcentral.
GAUCAGGCUCAGAACGAACGCUGGCGGCAGGCCUAACACAUGCAAGUCGAGCGGACCCUUCGGGGUUAGCGGCGGACGGGUGAGUAACGCGUGGGAAUAUGCCCUUCUCUACGGAAUAGUCCUGGGAAACUGGGGGUAAUACCGUAUACGCCCUUUGGGGGAAAGAUUUAUCGGGGAAGGAUUAGCCCGCGUUGGAUUAGGUAGUUGGUGGGGUAAUGGCCUACCAAGCCGACGAUCCAUAGCUGGUUUGAGAGGAUGAUCAGCCAC